This 1346-nucleotide ribosomal RNA is filed under the name uncultured bacterium. RNAcentral's name for it is "partial 16S ribosomal RNA". It matches the Rfam family "Bacterial small subunit ribosomal RNA", at positions 28 to 1381 of the family's 1533-position model. The record is from RNAcentral.
GACGAACGCUGUCUGCGUGCUUAACACAUGCAAGUCGAACGGAAAGGCCCUGCUUUUGUGGGGUGCUCGAGUGGCGAACGGGUGAGUAACACGUGAGUAACCUGCCCUUGACUUUGGGAUAACUUCAGGAAACUGGGGCUAAAACCGGAUAGGAGCUCCUGCUGCAUGGUGGGGGUUGGAAAGUUUCGGCGGUUGGGGAUGGACUCGCGGCUUAUCAGCUUGUUGGUGGGGUAGUGGCUUACCAAGGCUUUGACGGGUAGCCGGCCUGAGAGGGUGACCGGCCACAUUGGGACUGAGAUACGGCCCAGACUCCUACGGGAGGCAGCAGUGGGGAAUAUUGCACAAUGGGCGGAAGCCUGAUGCAGCAACGCCGCGUGCGGGAUGACGGCCUUCGGGUUGUAAACCGCUUUCGCCUGUGACGAAGCGUGAGUGACGGUAAUGGGUAAAGAAGCACCGGCUAACUACGUGCCAGCAGCCGCGGUGAUACGUAGGGUGCGAGCGUUGUCCGGAUUUAUUGGGCAUAAAGGGCUCGUAGGUGGUUGAUCGCGUCGGAAGUGUAAUCUUGGGGCUUAACCCUGAGCGUGCUUUCGAUACGGGUUGACUUGAGGAAGGUAGGGGAGAAUGGAAUUCCUGGUGGAGCGGUGGAAUGCGCAGAUAUCAGGAGGAACACCAGUGGCGAAGGCGGUUCUCUGGGCCUUUCCUGACGCUGAGGAGCGAAAGCGUGGGGAGCGAACAGGCUUAGAUACCCUGGUAGUCCACGCUGUAAACGGUGGGUACUAGGUGUGGGGUCCAUUCCACGGGUUCCGUGCCGUAGCUAACGCUUUAAGUACCCCGCCUGGGGAGUACGGCCGCAAGGCUAAAACUCAAAGGAAUUGACGGGGCCCCGCACAAGCGGCGGAGCAUGCGGAUUAAUUCGAUGCAACGCGUAGAACCUUACCUGGGUUUGACAUGGAUCGGGAGUGCUCAGAGAUGGGUGUGCCUCUUUUGGGGUCGGUUCACAGGUGGUGCAUGGCUGUCGUCAGCUCGUGUCGUGAGAUGUUGGGUUAAGUCCCGCAACGAGCGCAACCCUUGUUCACUGUUGCCAGCACGUUAUGGUGGGGACUCAGUGGAGACCGCCGGGGUCAACUCGGAGGAAGGUGGGGAUGACGUCAAGUCAUCAUGCCCCUUAUGUCCAGGGCUUCACGCAUGCUACAAUGGCUGGUACAGAGAGUGGCGAGCCUGUGAGGGUGAGCGAAUCUCGGAAAGCCGGUCUCAGUUCGGAUUGGGGUCUGCAACUCGACCUCAUGAAGUCGGAGUCGCUAGUAAUCGCAGAUCAGCAACGCUGCGGUGAAUACGUUCCCGGGGCU